GCCAGCACAAGUACUCAAAUUAGGACAUGAGAGAAGAUUAGCAUAGACCCUAUGCAAGGAUGACAUGCAAAUUCAUGAAGCAUUCUAUUAUUGU
Small nuclear RNA from Dipodomys ordii (Ord's kangaroo rat), 94 nucleotides. Lineage: Eukaryota; Metazoa; Chordata; Mammalia; Rodentia; Heteromyidae. The record is from Ensembl.